Molecule: long non-coding RNA, 846 nt
Filed under: Homo sapiens (human)
Lineage: Eukaryota; Metazoa; Chordata; Mammalia; Primates; Hominidae
Description: non-protein coding lnc-ZBTB2-1:3
Source: RNAcentral
CAGUCACAAGUUCUUUACAUACUAGAAAAUGUGUGAGAGAUGGAGGUACUUUGUUAACCAGUGGAAGCACAAAGAUGAACAAACCAUACUCCUCCCCUCAAGACAACUCUUUCGUGAGGGAGAUAACCCAGGAAAUAGGAGUCUAUUCAUGAGACCGCUGCUCUAACUAGAAGAAUAGGAAGUACCAGAAGGUCACAAAAGAGGAGCUGAUUAGCUCAACCUGAGAAAGUCUCCCAAAGCUUCACAGCGGAAGGAAUGCUGAAGUGGGGAUGAAGAGGUGUUGAUCAGAAAAAAAGGUUCUGUCAAAGCAGAUGACUCCCAAAGGUUUCAUAAAUCUUCCGGAAAAUAAGCUCCUUCAGCUAUAUAAUCAUGGCACCCACGGCUUAAAAGUUGACAGUGAGAACAGCAUUGAACAGCCUGCUGCAUUCAGCAAAAGAUGGGAGAAAAAUGAGUUCAAUCAGUAGACUCCCAUGACCCCUUCAAGUGACGCAAUCAUCUCUUCCAAGAAGUGCAGCUACUUAUUUGGGAUAAGCGACGACAGACGAGAAACCACAAAGAAUCUGCAGACGCGAGACUCCCUGACCUGCAGAUAUACAGCCAUCUCCAAUAAGUCUACAUUUAAACUAAAACUUCUCCUGUUGAGCAAGCAUAAUGUGGAAUUAUGUUAGCAAGACCUUAUGCAUUCCCACAAAUUUUCUCCCAAUAAAAAAAACUGUUAUCAAAGGAUUGUCACCCCCCCAGACAUACAGCACUGCAGGGAAAAAGGAGCCCAGACAGCCGUUGGGAGUUGACCUCUGGCCGCACGCCUGGGACAACGUCCUGCUCCGGUGCCCGGAAGACACGCGU